This 468-nucleotide ribosomal RNA is filed under the name uncultured bacterium. Its description in RNAcentral is "partial 16S ribosomal RNA". It matches the Rfam family "Bacterial small subunit ribosomal RNA", at positions 28 to 507 of the family's 1533-position model. The record is from RNAcentral.
GACGAACGCUGGCGGCGUGCUUAACACAUGCAAGUCGAACGGAAAGGCCCUGCUUUUGUGGGGUGCUCGAGUGGCGAACGGGUGAGUAACACGUGAGUAACCUGCCCUUGACUUUGGGAUAACUUCAGGAAACUGGGGCUAAUACCGGAUAGGAGCUCCUGCUGCAUGGUGGGGGUUGGAAAGUUUCGGCGGUUGGGGAUGGACUCGCGGCUUAUCAGCUUGUUGGUGGGGUAGUGGCUUACCAAGGCUUUGACGGGUAGCCGGCCUGAGAGGGUGACCGGCCACAUUGGGACUGAGAUACGGCCCAGACUCCUACGGGAGGCAGUAGUGGGGAAUAGUGCACAAUGGGCGGAAGCCUGAUGCAGCAACGCCGCGUGCGGGAUGACGGCCUUCGGGUUGUAAACCGCUUUCGCCUGUGACGAAGCGUGAGUGACGGUAAUGGGUAAAGAAGCACCGGCUAACUACGUG